This 473-nucleotide ribosomal RNA is filed under the name Pseudomonas aeruginosa. Its description in RNAcentral is "bacterial SSU rRNA". It matches the Rfam family "Bacterial small subunit ribosomal RNA", at positions 1 to 470 of the family's 1533-position model. The record is from RNAcentral. Lineage: Bacteria; Pseudomonadati; Pseudomonadota; Gammaproteobacteria; Pseudomonadales; Pseudomonadaceae.
UUUAACUGAAGAGUUUGAUCAUGGCUCAGAUUGAACGCUGGCGGCAGGCUUAACACAUGCAAGUCGAGCGGGGGAAGGUAGCUUGCUACCGGACCUAGCGGCGGACGGGUGAGUAAUGCUUAGGAAUCUGCCUAUUAGUGGGGGACAACAUCUCGAAAGGGAUGCUAAUACCGCAUACGUCCUACGGGAGAAAGCAGGGGAUCUUCGGACCUUGCGCUAAUAGAUGAGCCUAAGUCGGAUUAGCUAGUUGGUGGGGUAAAGGCCUACCAAGGCGACGAUCUGUAGCGGGUCUGAGAGGAUGAUCCGCCACACUGGGACUGAGACACGGCCCAGACUCCUACGGGAGGCAGCAGUGGGGAAUAUUGGACAAUGGGGGGAACCCUGAUCCAGCCAUGCCGCGUGUGUGAAGAAGGCCUUAUGGUUGUAAAGCACUUUAAGCGAGGAGGAGGCUACUUUAGUUAAUACCUAGAGAU